GGAUGAUGCUGUGUAGGGGUAGCUCCUCUAGCCAAGCAUUGGAAGGGAUGUCAGCCUGCUACAGACCCUUCUCUUGUAUGGGUGCUGCUGGCAACUUUAUAAGAAGGGUUUCCCUGUUCUUGCCUUUGCAAAUGCUUGUGUAAAUGCCAUGGGAUAGCCCUGGGAUAACCUUUCCCACUACAAAUCCUUUCUCUGUAUUUGAUGAAGCCCUGGUUUGGUCUAAAUUACCCCUUUCAUCCUGCAGCCACACGAGGAGGUCACUAUCUAUGUCUUGACUUGUUUGCUGAGCCAUCUUCAGUGUCCCAGCAACACCUGGCUAGAGCUGCUGUCAUGGUCUGGAAUGCAUCCACUCCAGGACAACUGCUCCAAGCCCAGGAUUCCAAGAGAACUGUGGUUAUCCAGCAUGGAUGCACUGCUGGAUCCAUGACUGAGAAAUGCUCUGGAGUUGUGUCCCAUGGAUCAACGCAGGCUGUUAUUUCAGAGGCAGAGAAAUCCUCAGCCUUGCAGAUGAAAUGUAGGCUCCAUGGAGGAAAUGCAGUGAGUGGCUACAUCUGGCUAAAUAUCCAUGUGGAGAAAUGGUGUCAUUACCACCUCAGCACUGCUGUCAGAGCUCUGAGGUCUCCUAUACCCUCUACCCUAAAACAUUAACCUACCCUGGCAGAUAUUAUGAUUUUCUCAGUAUACUGGCAUCUUACUUAGGCCACAUUAAGUUUCUAUGUCUG
This 722-nucleotide long non-coding RNA is filed under the name Taeniopygia guttata (zebra finch). RNAcentral's name for it is "lncRNA (ENSTGUG00000023868.1)". The record is from RNAcentral. Lineage: Eukaryota; Metazoa; Chordata; Aves; Passeriformes; Estrildidae.